UGGACAUUGCAAAGAGUGGCGAACGGGUGAGUAACACGUGGGAAACCUACCUCUUAGCAGGGGAUAACAUUUGGAAACAGAUGCUAAUACCGUAUAACAAUAGCAACCGCAUGGUUGCUACUUAAAAGAUGGUUCUGCUAUCACUAAGAGAUGGUCCCGCGGUGCAUUAGUUAGUUGGUGAGGUAAUGGCUCACCAAGACGAUGAUGCAUAGCCGAGUUGAGAGACUGAUCGGCCACAAUGGGACUGAGACACGGCCCAUACUCCUACGGGAGGCAGCAGUAGGGAAUCUUCCACAAUGGGCGAAAGCCUGAUGGAGCAACGCCGCGUGUGUGAUGAAGGGUUUCGGCUCGUAAAACACUGUUGUAAGAGAAGAAUGACAUUGAGAGUAACUGUUCAAUGUGUGACGGUAUCUUACCAGAAAGGAACGGCUAAAUACGUGCCAGCAGCCGCGGUAAUACGUAUGUUCCAAGCGUUAUCCGGAUUUAUUGGGCGUAAAGCGAGCGCAGACGGUUAUUUAAGUCUGAAGUGAAAGCCCUCAGCUCAACUGAGGAAUUGCUUUGGAAACUGGAUGACUUGAGUGCAGUAGAG
RNAcentral lists this ribosomal RNA (589 nucleotides) under uncultured Weissella sp. RNAcentral's name for it is "bacterial SSU rRNA". It matches the Rfam family "Bacterial small subunit ribosomal RNA", at positions 80 to 656 of the family's 1533-position model. Lineage: Bacteria; Bacillati; Bacillota; Bacilli; Lactobacillales; Lactobacillaceae. The record is from RNAcentral.